GACGAACGCUGGCGGCGUGCUUAACACAUGCAAGUCGAACGGAAAGGCCCUGCUUUUGUGGGGUGCUCGAGUGGCGAACGGGUGAGUAACACGUGAGUAACCUGCCCUUGACUUUGGGAUAACUUCAGGAAACUGGGGCUAAUACCGGAUAGGAGCUCCUGCUGCAUGGUGGGGGUUGGAAAGUUUCGGCGGUUGGGGAUGGACUCGCGGUUUAUCAGCUUGUUGGGGGGGUAGUGGCUUACCAAGGGUUUGACGGGUAGCCGGCCUGAGAGGGUGACCGGCCACAUUGGGACUGAGAGACGGCCCAGACUGCUACGGGAGGCAGAAGUGGGGAAUAUUGCACAAUGGGCGGAAGCGUGAUGCAGCAACGCCGCGUGCGGGAUGACGGCCUUCGGGUUGUAAACCGCUUUCGCCUGUGACGAAGCGUGAGUGACGGUAAUGGGUAAAGAAGCACCGGCUAACUACGUG
RNAcentral lists this ribosomal RNA (468 nucleotides) under uncultured bacterium. RNAcentral describes it as "partial 16S ribosomal RNA". It matches the Rfam family "Bacterial small subunit ribosomal RNA", at positions 28 to 507 of the family's 1533-position model. The record is from RNAcentral.